AUAACCAAGUUUUUUCUUAACAAUAAGACUGCAUUUACAAUGCAAAUCUUAAUGCACAGAUCAUAUUUUUUUGACUAUAUUCAUUUUUUGUUCUGAUCUUUUUAUAUUUACAUAAGACAUUAUUCAUAACUGAUAUCGGUGUUACAAUAAUUUGCAAAACUACAGUUAAUAUGAGUGUCAUGAUUUGCACUUGAGUUUUGUAUCGACUUAAGCCAGGGUCACUGCCAAUUUAGGCAUGUUUUAAUUAUGACACUUAAACAAUUGUAUAUGUACUUCGAUAAAGGUUUUUGCAAUCAUGGAAACAUAAGUGAAUCGCAGACAGCAUUCUUCUUUUACCAAUGUAAAAUGGCUGGAGUAGUGAUGUCACUAGCUAAAUUAAUUUUCAUUUGACCUCCCCCACAGAAAGACACAGCACAUCAUUAUAUCGUUGGCUCCGCCCACUGGUGUUCAGUCUAAAGUAGUAGUUGUUGACAAUCAUAAAGUUGUAAUAACAGUAAGAUUGUGAUGUCAGACAAACAUUGUGCUGUUGCUGGCUGUGGGAAAUUAGUGUCUUUGUAAGGGUCGCAAAUAAUUUGAAAAUAUUUAUGUUUCUAAAUAUGCCCCCCUACCAUGAACUAAACUGGACUGUUGCAGAGACCAAGUGUAGUAGGGUACACUACUAUGCAGAAUUCUGGCCUGGUGUUUGGUCCCCCCUUUCUCUGGCUUGUGUCUCCAUCAUCAUUACACUCUUGUCAGUGUAAUAGUAUCGUCGUCUGCAUACCAGGACUUUGUUACUCAGCUGUCCCUUCUCCUUCAAGCUACAUUUUUGUCAAGCUGCAACAAGUUGGAAUACAUAAUUAUUAACGUUUAAUGAUUUUGAUGUAUGAAAUAUGUAACAAAAGCAAAAAAUGUAUAGACAUUCUAUUAAGAAAUUACCUUUUUGUUGUUUGUUUACUGACCUUUCAACCAUAUUGCAUUUAUAAUUGAUCAUCAUACCUUUGGUCUACUGUUAACAGGCUACUGUAGAAAACAAAGUCAAACAAAAAAGAGAGAAAAAAUUAUAAAUGCUGAAUGUGUCUCAUCUUAAAUACAUUGUUGUUGUUUUUGUUUCAUUGAAUUUGGAUGUUUUGAUGAUUUAAGGAAAAUUUACGUAGCAUAUAUAUUGAUGUUUUAAAUCAGAGUUUGUUAAUGACACUUAAUCAUUAACAAACAUUUAAAAAGCUUUAUUACAAUACUAAUUGAUAAUAUUAAUGUAAUAAUCUUGUUUUGUAACACCCUAAAUCACUGAGCGCACAAACGCUACCCCUGUUACAAGCAUGAGUGAUUGACUUCAGGCACACAUGCGCAAACAUUGAAGUACCGCGAGAGUGAUUCAAAAGCCCACGAAACAGUGUAAUCACGCGGUACUGUGAUGUCAUACUGGUUAAGGCUAAGCCACGUGAAGCCUGACACAAGGGCUACACUAAUCUUUGGGCUGGAGUAGCCUGUGGCUUCGUGUCUCAUCGCGUUAAACGAUCGCAGAACGAUUUAUUUCUCUUUUUCACCUCGAUCUUUGGCCUCGUGUGAUUUACCAAAACCAACAUGUGAAGUUACAACGCUGACGAAGGAGUUUCAUCAGUAGAGUGUGUCCUGGAAAACGUGUGCUCGGAAACAUGCAGAAUACAGUAUUUACAGAGCCGACCUUGAGGCACCCACUGAUGGAUAAUCUGUUUACCUAAAAACAGCCCACCACAAUCCAUGUUUACCAGCUGUGAAAGUGCAGGCCAAAAAUCUUCCUUCACCUGUGGGCCUCUACCCACAUGUAGAUAAGCAUUUCAGGAGAAACCUGCCUGUGAUCUGCUAAGAUGCACAGAUUCAACUUUGGCCCAUUGUCAUCCCAACACCUCAUCUGCCAUCAGUUUCGUUUAGUGUCGGUCUAUUGCAAAAGUUCUUAUAAACUUUAAAUGAGACUUUGUGUUAAGCAGGGGUUUCCAAACUUUUCAUUCCACAACAUAUUAAGCCCAGGAUACACAGCAGGAUUUUUGCAAUCCAAUAAGACCUUAUCACACUGUGUGACAAGGAUUGUUUAAACUUCAGCAGUAGACUGUCGAUGAAGACACCUAUUGCAUCUGAAGCUGCGACAUCUGUCAUCAACAUGCGCUAGUGGUACACAAAUACAGGUAUUCAGGUCGUAGAAGCAAACACAUUGUUGAUGUGCGUUGAUCAUGCUGAACUUCUUACACUGUCAUAAAACUAUCGUAGGUGUCUUUGGUCCCAGGACUGGGAAAACAGACGUCUUUAAACCUCUCACACUGUAUGAGAUAGGACCACCAAUUAAGAGCCACGAUCACAGAAAUCUCCACAAUUGUUUCACGAUUGGUAAUCUUUCAUCUGGGACAGCCAAAAAUCGUGCCAUGUAUUAUGGGCUUUAGACAGGUGUAAUCUUAUAGUAUAUCAAAACCAUUGCUAAUAAUUAAUUGGACAAACCAUUACUACAAUGCAACACUCACUAUCUUACGGUGCGACCCACAAGUGGGUCUUCACCCACAGUUUAAAAACCCUGAGUAUGAGAAAGAGUAUGUUGUAUUGUAAUUAAAGUCACAUCUAAGUGUUAUGGAACAGUUUGUCAUUAUAUUCACAGUAUUACAUGGUUCUUUCAGCGGUUACUACGUUACAGUGCUCUUAAAGUGUCCUGAUCAGCUUUGGGUCUUGUGAAGUAAUGUAAUGAGAACGUGAUCAAUAGCUUUGCAGUAUUUUGUUACACUGUGGCUGUAAUCAUAUUAACACAUAGGUUAAACAUUUUAUUCAAAUUUGGUAAACAAACUAGUCAAUAUAAUUCAUGCUGUGAUGCUGGAUUAAACCUGGUCAAAUGAU
Long non-coding RNA from Paramisgurnus dabryanus, 2832 nucleotides. RefSeq lists it as uncharacterized. The record is from RefSeq and is a predicted model, not a curated record. Lineage: Eukaryota; Metazoa; Chordata; Actinopteri; Cypriniformes; Cobitidae.